Hordeum vulgare subsp. vulgare (domesticated barley) is the source of this 453-nucleotide long non-coding RNA. RefSeq lists it as uncharacterized. The transcript has 2 exons. Lineage: Eukaryota; Viridiplantae; Streptophyta; Magnoliopsida; Poales; Poaceae. The record is from RefSeq and is a predicted model, not a curated record.
CAUCGACAACCAAGUGACUGAGUGGGGGUAUGGGCAAGCACACGAUUCGCAUCCUUGCACUAGCAGCCCUAGUGUGUCUACAUCUCCUAUGCUCUGCUACUAUUGCUCAAUGCCGAACCAUGGCUGACACGGAUAGCGAGAAGAUCGAUUUACCACACGGGUUAUGCGUUGAAGUAGCUUAUGAAGAUUGUAGGUCAAGAAGUGGUUGCUUCCAUUGUUUAGUAACUGAUGUCUUCUACCCCACUAUGGAUGACUGUACGAGCAAGUGUAACACAUCAUCGUCUUCACAAGACAUUCUAGUGGCCAUGACUACGUCCCCUCCUCCUCCUUUACCCGCUCCUUAAUUUUUCAGCCUAGAUAGUCAAAUUGGCUUACAUAUGUACAAGAUUGUCCCCGAAAAAUAAUGUCUGAUGUGCGGAAAUGCAGUUAUGCAAUAAGAGUGAUGCUCUAGCA